This 383-nucleotide ribosomal RNA is filed under the name actinobacterium SCGC AAA043-P21. Its description in RNAcentral is "bacterial SSU rRNA". It matches the Rfam family "Bacterial small subunit ribosomal RNA", at positions 369 to 763 of the family's 1533-position model. The record is from RNAcentral. Lineage: Bacteria; Bacillati; Actinomycetota; Actinomycetes.
CAAUGGGCGAAAGCCUGAUGCAGCAACGCCGCGUGAGGGAUGAAGGCCUUCGGGUUGUAAACCUCUUUUAUCAGGGAAGAAGCGAAAGUGACGGUACCUGAAGAAAAAGCACCGGCUAACUACGUGCCAGCAGCCGCGGUAAUACGUAGGGUGCAAGCGUUAUCCGGAAUUACUGGGCGUAAAGAGCUCGUAGGCGGUUUGUCGCGUCUGCUGUGAAAAUCCGGGGCUCAACCUCGGACCUGCAGUGGGUACGGGCAGACUAGAGUGCAGUAGGGGAGAAGGGAAUUCCUGGUGUAGCGGUGGAAUGCGCAGAUAUCAGGAGGAACACCAAUGGCGAAGGGCACUUCUCUGGGCUGUAACUGACGCUCAGGAGCGAAAGCGUG